Molecule: ribosomal RNA, 253 nt
Filed under: uncultured bacterium
Lineage: Bacteria
Description: partial 16S ribosomal RNA
Rfam family: Bacterial small subunit ribosomal RNA
Source: RNAcentral
UACAGAGGGGGCCAGCGUUAUUCGGAAUUAUUGGGCGUAAAGGGCGCGUAGGCGGCCAUGUGUGUCUUCCGUGAAAUCCCUCGGCUUAACUGAGGACGUGCGGAAGAAACUGCAAGGCUCGAGUCCGGGAGAGGGGGGUGGAAUUCCCAGUGUAGCGGUGAAAUGCGUAGAGAUCGGCAGGAACACCCAGGGGGAAACCAGUCGACUGGGCAUUACCUGACGCUGAUGUGCGAGAGCGUGGGGAGCGAACCGG